AAGGAACAGGCAGGCAGGGGAGCGGAGAAAGACGACAUCAGUUAAUGAGGAGCAGAUGUGCCAAUCUGCUGGGAAACCUGUCUGUGUGAGUGAGACUGUUCAGUUUAGAUGCUGAAAUUCUUGUUCACUAUAUUCUAAAUUAUUUUUUCCUUUUGCUCGUGACUUUUACUUUUUCUAAGCUGAAGCUAUAAAAAUAAUUUUAUUAGUCACUAAUCACUUGAAAACUCAGCAAGAAAGUAAGUUUUAGACUACUUGUGUUUGUGUUCAAUCCUGUGACUAUUCAGAUGCUGAAACAAACUAUGCAGUAAAACUGUGUUCAUGUUAGACCACUGAUCAAGAGAGUAAAACAGAAGAGGUUGACACUUUCUCUUAAGAUAUGUAAUCUUUACAUAUAACAGUUAAAAUGGCUUUUUCCCUGUAGCAAGUAGCUUUAACCUUCGAAAUGGAACAAAAUGGAUUGAUGUGAUUGAUUCAACACAUCAAUCAAGCAGAAACUUUGCAGAAAACACAGAAACAAAUAAAUGCAUGACUCGAUGUGAAACAAAUAGGAUGUGAAGUUAAACAGAACUAAACUGAACUGAAUUGAUUUUUUUUUAAUAAAUAGCUUAAAGUGACUUAAUUUUAAGUUUAUUUUAACUUAAUUAAUUGAAUUUCAUUCAACAUUCAAUCAAAGUGAAAAUAAACUGAACUGUAAUAAAUAGAACAAAAGUUGUUGCUGUUGACCUAAAUUCAGAUAAACUGAACUGAACUGAGUUGGGUUUAAAUUAACUGCUGUUAGUUAAUUUCCAAUGAACUGAAAUAAACUAAACUUUACUCAAUUCUGUUCACUUGGACAUUACAAUGAGCAUUCUUGAAAUAAGCAUAGUUGAGAUUAAUUUAGUUUAAACAAACUUAAAAGACUGAGUUCUGGAGAAAUUAGCUGAACAAUUUGUGUAUGUAUUUGUGCUUAAAACACCUAAUUAAAAACAAAAUUAAUCAGAUUGAUUUUAUUUUCUUUAAAGUGACGAGGCAUGUACUGAUUCUGCCUCCAUUAAAUUGAAUCUAAUUGGGCUGAAGUGAAUUGAAUUGAGCUUCAUUGACAGUAACUGGUUGUGUCCUGGUGCAAUAAGAAAACUCACCAAACUGAAUUCAACUGAUCUUAGCUGAGUUGAGUAGCAAUAUAUUCUAUUGAAAGGAACUGAACCGAACAGUGAUGAAUUGAUUAACUACACUCAGAGGAGCUGAUUGCACUGACUGAAGUUCUAAAUUAUCUGAAAUUAAAAUUUAGUAACCAAAUCCAAGUUAGUUGAAUUACAUGGAUUUUAUGUAAAUGAAAUUGUUUCUGGUUUGACAUGAUUUGUGCUGCAGGAAGAGAUUGGCUUGAUCCAAACUGAAUCAAAUGUAGUUCUCCUCUUUAAAGUGGGCUGGCAUGUGACUUGAGUGUUGGCGCUGUAAGCGGUUUUCUGUUAAAUCGAGUUGAAUUGACCUGAAUUAAUGUGAACGAAUCCCCUGGAGACAUGUAAAUGGUAAAUUCAUGGUAAAACCUUCUGGGUUUUAACAUUUAAACGAACGGACCUUCAGAUGUUCACUUUUUAUGUUAAUGUUUUUUAAGUGUAAAAACCCCACAAAUCUUAGAUUCCACCACCUUGUUAUUUAUUAAACAAGGAGGAAGCAAAACCCUUUAUCAUGCACAAAUAAACCGCUAAACUUAUUGAUGGUGUAUUCUCUUUUUACCGCAACUGCAACAAUGAUCGCAAUUAACUUCUCUGUUACACUGAAGGGUUUUCUACAUGCUGCUGCACUUUGACCCUCAUGGCCACCAGGAAAGGUUUAAUCUACGUCUAAGCAUCACAGUUUAAGCGCUUUUGGCAACGCAUCGCUUUUAAAUUCUUUGUACUUGUUAAAACAAAGACUCUCCUUCAAGACUCACGUCGUCAAACUAUUGUCAGCUUUUUCUCCCCGACGCAUAAAUGCUGAGCUGUCGAGGGUGGCUGUUCUAAAACCUGUCAGGACCUCCCAUUGAGCAUUAUUAGAGCGCUGCUGCAGUUAUAGAAAGCCGUGUCCGGGGAGCAGCAGAGCUACAGAGUGGUGCAGCUGCUUUUUAAGGCCUCUGAGAGACUGAUGUGCUGCACUGUUACAUUCUGGUGUCGAUCCAGCUUGGGCACUGCGGAGGAGGACUGGGGCUUUAGGGCUGCACACUCAGCUCUUUUUAAUGAGCAAGGAAAGCCUGCGCAUCACGGGGGCUCCCCGAUACUCACGCCACAAUGCAGAGGAUGUGCCUGUAGCCCUCCUGCAUGGAGGAGGUAAUCACUUUUAAAACACUUGCUCCUGCGCACAACAGGGACACUCACUGUGCAAGUUAGGGGACAGAGAAAAUAGGUUAGAAAACCCCUGGAAGAUGGCAUUCACUAAGGAUCCGUGCUUCUAGGGAGGGUUAAAGUGAAGCGGUAUUGAUGUCUCUUUUACGAACAAGUGGAUUGCCACACUUUCUACCUGCACUAGGGGGAAAAUUCUGGAAGGAGGAAAGAACAAAGUUAGGGGGAAAAAAGCACUGCAAAGAUUGAUAAAAGCGAAGGGAAAGUGUCUGAAUCCAGGUUUCCUAGGGGAGGGAAAUAAUAAACGUCUCUGAAGAGCGUGACUGGGGUGACAGCUUGUUAAAGCAAAGUGAGAGGCAGGUGAAGAUAAGAGCAGAGAGGAGCAUGUGUUGACAUAAAGCAGACUUAAAAUAGAGCAGUGUUGCAUUACGGCUGUUUCUGCCCCACCUGUGUUUAUCAGCUUGUGUGUGAUACUUUUUUUUUUUUUAAAGACAGACUCGGGGAUGCAGAAACAAAGAGAAAGACUCAGCCAUGUGUGCAAAAUGGUGAACACAUCCAGCAGCCUGUGCUCAAAGCAGCUGUGAGUGCCUAUGCUACGCUGACUCUGAGUGUGCUUGAUAACCCGACUGAGCGCAGCUUCCCUGCAUGUUUUGAAUUUAAGAUCUUGCAUGUAAUUUACAUGAAGCGUCGUGGCUCUGUUCGCUCAGCCUCGGUAGGAUCAGGAGGUUCGGCAGCGAAGCGUUUGAGUGGAAACUGAUGCACCUUUGGCCGUUUCUUGCGUAAAGCUCUGAAUAAUUUUGAACAGUUCCCUUUUAGUUUUGUUUUUGGAAAUGGAAACUGUGUUUGAAAACUGUGCUUGCAAUGUGCCCCAACAUGGGGGCAACUAUUUCCCAUUUAGUGGAAAUGCAAACACAUGCAGGAACACUCAGUCGGGCAGCGUUUUCUUUAUGGUGCUGAACAGUGUAACGCUCAUACAUACGAUAACACUCUGGGUGGAGAGCCAUUUCCCUCGCAUAGAAAACCUCCACUCGGUAUUUGAUGCAAGCAGACAUGAACGUUUUUGGUUGCAUAUAUUUAACUGUAAUAUUUGUUCACAUUCUGUUUUAAUCGACAAAAGUUACAUUGCGUUUCAGUUAAAAAUCAACCUUUUUCCCCUUGUCAAUAAAGACUACACACAUACUGCGUGGUAAAACUAAUUCAGUCCCCUACCUCCAACGCUAACAUGGUGAAGAACUCAAAGACGAGGCGGCUUUCUGACGCGGAAACGAUUUUGUUGUGUUGCUUCUGUUUCUGUCUGAUCUAUUACAGAAGCUGUUUCGCAACAGAUGGCUUGUUUCACCAAUAAUCAACAACGUAUACGAUCCCUGCAACGUAAUUUAGCAUAUAACCACUUAGCAGUCAACUGGAAAUAUGCAAGAUGUUCGGUGCAAACCAGUGGCCUGGUCCGAGGUUUAAUUAGUGGUGGUCUGAACUCUCAAGAGUCAUUUCUGUGUGCAUUCAUUUGUGGCUUCGUUCCUUUUAUAAACACUCUCACCUCACAUAUACUGCGAGCCUUUUGUUAGUACUUUAAAGUAAACUAACCGGUAUGCUGUUCAUUUUAAUUAAAGCUGCUGCGAUCUGUUACACAAUCUACAACCUUUACACAGAUGGUGUAAGACAAUUCAAGUCCCUGACAUGAUGACAUAUGUUUUUAUAGAAUUGUUUUUUUCACAUCGGGUGAUUUAUCUUCUUAGAUUAUAAAAUUAAGUGAAAUAGAAUCAGAUAGGAAUCGGAGGUUUAACCGUAAACUACAAGCGUGUGACGAUCUGAACUCAUGGAGGCUUGAACGCCUUUCAGUUCCUGAAAAUAAAACAGAAACAUCUGCAGUAUUCAGAGAUAUUUCAAGAGUAUGACUCAUACUGUAUCAAAACGGUCAAAAAAGAUUUUUUUCUUUCUUUAUGUGUUUUACUUAUUUAUGUUAAGAAUAGCAGUUACCACAUCCUACGUGAGGGAGCAGCAGCUCUGUAAUCUGUUGCUGAAAUUGUGAAGAGGUUUGUUAAGCUCUUUACCUCCAUGUCAGGUUUGAACAUGUGUUCGUAACUCUUUUUAUGCUUUUCUUGUAUAUCCUUCUUUUAUGCGUAUUGUAAGCGGAAAGCGGCUGCAUAAAUACCAAGUAGAUUUUUUUUUUUUUUUUUUUAAAUAAGCUACUUGCAGUGCUUUGCAGAAAUACUCUUCUGUGUUGUACUUUUUUUUCUUUUUUUUUGACAAUUUGAUCAGUUGCAACCACACACGUCAGUGUAUGUUACUGGGAUUUUGAAUCUAAGACCAACAGAAAGUAACCCAUAAUUUAUUUUAUUUUAUUUUUUUAAUGGUUUUAAAGGUCUGGCUGCUUGUUUGUUUGUUUUCCAUCUACCCGCCCAUAAACUGUGGCAAGCUUCUCUUCUCCAAAGCAUCAUACUGCCACCACCUUAUCUUACUGUAAGUUCAGUCUGGAUCUCAUCUGAGCAGAACGCCUUCUUCAACAUGUUGCUAUACGGCUUUUUUUUUCCAACAUUGCUUUAUGUUCUUGGUACUCUUCCAUAAUUAUUCUGUUUCAUGUACAUGUAUCCUUUAUAUACCAAGGAAGUAAUUUUUCCAAAACAGUUAAUCAUAUUAGAUUUUAUUGAGGGGUGUUAAGGUAAGAAAGGCUGAAUACAAAUGGCACCACACUUUUCAUAUUUUGUCCUGUGUAAAAUAUUUGUAUUUAUACACUUCUUCUUUCACUUUAUAACUCUGAUCUAAUUAACUUACAUCUGUUUCUUAAAACAAUAAUAGAAUAUUUUGAAGUGAGAAAACUGAUGUGUCUAAUUGAUUGGAUCUUUUGCAAUAUUAUUGAGGACAAAUGCGGGUAAACCUUUUGUUUGACGUCGCAGUGCCGGCAGCCGUUUCUGGCUGCGGUUUUCUCACUGCAGCUUUGUUCACCUCAGUGGUUACUUUGCAGAUUUAACCUGUGGAUGUUCAAUACUGCAGCUACGGUCAUUCAGUCUGUGCUGAAGCAAUUUUUGUCAUAAAAAAAAAAAAAGAAAAGAAAAAAUCCCAAGACAUUGCAUGUAUUGAACGCUUUGUGUGUUUUCAAGCGUCUGAAAACACACAAAGUGUGUGUGUGUGUGUGUGUGUGUGUGUGCGUGCGUGCACCAGCGCUGGGUAACAGGAUAAUCAGCAUGAGGCGGAUUGCUGCAUUAGCAGAACGCAGUGCACUGAGGUUAUCUGCAAACAUCAGUGUUUUAAGUCCCGCAGAAUAACAAGCCAAUACUGUUAGCUGGAGCAGAUCAGGACAGUAAAGCCCAGAGGCCUGAACCUGCAGAAUAUUCAAUAACCCCCCUUUUUUUCCCCAUUUAAUUAAUGAAAAAAAAGGGGGGUUCAGAAUCUUAAGUGUUCUUACGCCCCAAGGGAAUGCUCUAAAAAUAAACUCACUUGCUGAGCAAAAUUGCUUAAGACAACAUGAAAAAGAUUCAGGCGUUUCAACAAAUGGAUCCCUCAGCAAAAGGUUCUUUAAGUGAUGGGUUAAAAAAAAAAAAAGAUCACCCACAUCAGUCUCCUUCUCAUCACCUCAUUUAGCUGCCUUCCUCCCAGAGGACUGCCUCUUAGUUGAGACUAAUGAUUAUAAUUUCAGAGGCCUCUGAAAUCCCCCAUCGCUGUCCAAUAGACGUUUCAGGAUUUGAAGAAAACUGAUGUGUCUCCCAUUCUCCCCCCGCCCCACGUGGCUUCACAUUCAGAGCUUCUCAUUUUUAUCUAUUUGUGCCGCAGAGACGACAGUUGGCAUUUUCCUAAAACUUCAAAGACCGACAGCGGCUUGUGGGCAAGCAGAAGUAAAGGUCUGGAGGGACGACAAGUGGAGGAAGCGGAGAUACGGGCGUCGCGCUUCGCUUCAAGAAACCCUUCGAACGAGUCUGCUGACUGACCUGCGUGAUUUGUGUUUCACUUUAUGCUUGCUGCUCUUCAGCUGCACCGGCUCCAAAAGGAAGCAGCUCUGACACAGAUUCCCUGGACCGAGCCUCUGCGGAGAGAAAACUUUUUCUGCUUCCUCUGCGUCCUACUCUCCCUAAAUGCAGUUUUUUUUUUCUUUUUGUUGUUCUAUCUCCACAACUUCUCCUUUUUAUCCAUUGGCAGGCUUUAUCAUUUGAUCUUUCCUUAGAUCCUUCUAUGCUUCCAUUUAUUGCUGCCUCGUGUGCUUUCUUACUCCUCUAUUAGUCUUUGGCGCUGGCGUG
Molecule: long non-coding RNA, 6520 nt
Organism: Poecilia latipinna (sailfin molly)
Lineage: Eukaryota; Metazoa; Chordata; Actinopteri; Cyprinodontiformes; Poeciliidae
Exons: 2
Source: RefSeq, a predicted model, not a curated record